This 20-nucleotide microRNA is filed under the name Rosa chinensis. Its description in RNAcentral is "sRNA RchiOBHm_Chr6g0246005". Lineage: Eukaryota; Viridiplantae; Streptophyta; Magnoliopsida; Rosales; Rosaceae. The record is from RNAcentral.
UCCCUCUUCCGGUCUCGAUC